Molecule: ribosomal RNA, 262 nt
Filed under: uncultured bacterium
Lineage: Bacteria
Description: partial 16S ribosomal RNA
Rfam family: Bacterial small subunit ribosomal RNA
Source: RNAcentral
CCGCGGUCAUACGGAGGAUCCAAGCGUUAUCCGGAAUUACUGGGCGUAAAGCGUGCGUAGGUGGUCCGUUAAGUCUGAUGUGAAAGCCCUGGGCUCAACCUGGGAAUGGCAUUGGAUACUGGCGGGCUAGAGUGCGGUAGAGGGCAGUGGAAUUCCCGGUGUAGCAGUGAAAUGCGUAGAGAUCGGGAGGAACAUCUGUGGCGAAGGCGACUGCCUGGACCAGCACUGACACUGAGGCACGAAAGCGUGGGGAGCAAACAGG